UACGUAGGGUGCAAGCGUUAAUCGGAAUUACUGGGCGUAAAGCGUGCGCAGGCGGUUUUGUAAGUCUGUCGUGAAAUCCCCGGGCUCAACCUGGGAAUUGCGAUGGAGACUGCAAGGCUAGAAUCUGGCAGAGGGGGGUAGAAUUCCACGUGUAGCGGUAAAAUGUGUAGAUAUAUGGAAGAACACCAAUAACGGCGAAGGCAGUUAACUAUUCUGUUACUGACAUUGAGGCACGAAAGCGUGGGGAGCAAAACGG
RNAcentral lists this ribosomal RNA (256 nucleotides) under uncultured bacterium. Its description in RNAcentral is "partial 16S ribosomal RNA". It matches the Rfam family "Bacterial small subunit ribosomal RNA", at positions 524 to 776 of the family's 1533-position model. The record is from RNAcentral.